GGCUGCAUGGCAUAGUAGUUUGAGUGUUGGACUAUGACUUUGGAGACCAGGGUUCAAUUCCCAGCUCAGCUA
Molecule: transfer RNA, 72 nt
Filed under: Phrynosoma platyrhinos (Desert horned lizard)
Lineage: Eukaryota; Metazoa; Chordata; Lepidosauria; Squamata; Phrynosomatidae
Description: tRNA-OTHER
Source: RNAcentral